UGUUAAUUUAUUUAUUUAUUAUUUAAUGUUCUUUGUGGUAAAUGUUCAAUGUUUUGGGUUACGAGCUAUAGGGAAACACCAAUAUUGUAUAGCGUAGUCCCCCGUCAACAAACACAACAGAAUAUUGUCUCUUAAGAAAGGGCUCAGUGGGUGCAAGGGGGGUAUCCAGUGGGUGCAACUUAAGGGCAUGCUUCUACGAUGUUGGCGGUAUUGGGGGAUGACGGUUGAGGAGACCGAUGACGGAUCCUUUGAGGCAGGUUUGACCGCCGUGAAUCGGCCAUUUCAAUCCCGGUGUUCGUGCGAGAAAGUUGAGUGCUUUAGUGAAAGUUUUUAAAGUGAGCCAGCAGAAGACGGAAGAAGGAUUCCCGCAUCACCCUGCUGUUCGUUCAGGACCUUUUGAUUUCGUCCACAAAGCGUACGCGCCUCACACUCGCACGGGUCGGUCCAUGUACAGUAAGUGCGGAGGAGCCAGUACAUGCACCUAAUCGUAAAAGGACCUCCCGCUCUGGAUCUACGGAUCCAUAACCCGUAAAGGAGCGUUUCUCUCGGGCUGAAGCCCUAAUUAUCAAGGAGACCCUUCUCGGAACGACCGUUACGGUGAUCCCGUGGUCCGCCCGAUCGAGUCAACGAAGGAAGACACCGUAAACCUCGACACCAGCCUACGCCAUUGCUGGUCAGUACGCGCCAUCCGUCCGCCAUCGCUCAAGCCAGCCCGCGGUUUUCCACGGCCGCCAUUGCCACCCAAGAGCACUGGUCGAUGUUCCGUGCGCGGCGCUGAAGCGAGCGUGGCCAUCCGAGUGGUGCUAGCCCACCAAGGACCCGAGCCAACCGAAGCCGAAGCAGAAGUAGGAGAAGAAGCAGUGCAUCAACGGUACGUACCGCAGCAGUUCCAGAACCCCAGCAACCCCCCACAAUAGCCCAAAUAUCCCCCCCACAUCACACACACAGUAGUUUCCAUAGUUUUUAAUAAAUUUAGUCUUAAUUCCGUAUUUUUCUUUAGUUGUCUUUAAUAAAACCCAUCCCUUGAUAUUUCCCA
Culex quinquefasciatus (southern house mosquito) is the source of this 1036-nucleotide long non-coding RNA. RefSeq lists it as uncharacterized. The transcript is spliced from 2 exons. The record is from RefSeq and is a predicted model, not a curated record. Lineage: Eukaryota; Metazoa; Arthropoda; Insecta; Diptera; Culicidae.